GACGAACUCUUUCUUCGUGCUUAACACAUGCAAGUCGAGCGGAAAGGCCCUGCUUUUGUGGGGUGCUCGAGUGGCGAACGGGUGAGUAACACGUGAGUAACCUGCCCUUGACUUUGGGAUAACUUCAGGAAACUGGGGCUAAUACCGGAUAGGAGCUCCUGCUGCAUGGUGGGGGUUGGAAAGUUUCGGCGGUUGGGGAUGGACUCGCGGCUUAUCAGCUUGUUGGUGGGGUAGUGGCUUACCAAGGCUUUGACGGGUAGCCGGCCUGAGAGGGUGACCGGCCACAUUGGGACUGAGAUACGGCCCAGACUCCUACGGGAGGCAGCAGUGGGGAAUAUUGCACAAUGGGCGGAAGCCUGAUGCAGCAACGCCGCGUGCGGGAUGACGGCCUUCGGGUUGUAAACCGCUUUCGCCUGUGACGAAGCGUGAGUGACGGUAAUGGGUAAAGAAGCACCGGCUAACUACGUG
RNAcentral lists this ribosomal RNA (468 nucleotides) under uncultured bacterium. RNAcentral's name for it is "partial 16S ribosomal RNA". It matches the Rfam family "Bacterial small subunit ribosomal RNA", at positions 28 to 507 of the family's 1533-position model. The record is from RNAcentral.